This 218-nucleotide long non-coding RNA is filed under the name Musa acuminata (dwarf banana). Its description in RNAcentral is "long non-coding RNA (MACU_LNC007098)". Lineage: Eukaryota; Viridiplantae; Streptophyta; Magnoliopsida; Zingiberales; Musaceae. The record is from RNAcentral.
CAAGACUCAAGACACAUAAAACACCAGUGGUUCAAGUCAUCAGGAACUUUGGAUGAUGAUGCCGAUGCACAAAGAACAAUUUAAUUCUUUGGAACAUUACCUUUGCAGAAAUCAUGAUCGGAACGUAGACAUCAAUUCAGUAGUUCCAUUACCUGCACCUACUACCUCUGGUCCUACAACUUGCUUAAAGCCUAUCCAAUUGGACAAGUUCAUCUAAC